CCUACGGGGGGCAGCAGUAGGGAAUAUUGCUCAAUGGGGGAAACCCUGAAGCAGCAACGCCGCGUGGAGGAUGAAGGUUUUAGGAUUGUAAACUCCUUUUGUUAGAGAAGAUUAUGACGGUAUCUAACGAAUAAGCACCGGCUAACUCCGUGCCAGCAGCCGCGGUAAUACGGAGGGUGCAAGCGUUACUCGGAAUCACUGGGCGUAAAGAGUGCGUAGGCGGGGUAAUAAGUCAGAUGUGAAAUCCUGUAGCUUAACUACAGAACUGCAUUUGAAACUGUUACUCUGGAGUGUGGGAGAGGUAG
Molecule: ribosomal RNA, 305 nt
Filed under: uncultured bacterium
Lineage: Bacteria
Description: bacterial SSU rRNA
Rfam family: Bacterial small subunit ribosomal RNA
Source: RNAcentral